RNAcentral lists this ribosomal RNA (303 nucleotides) under uncultured bacterium. Its description in RNAcentral is "partial 16S ribosomal RNA". It matches the Rfam family "Bacterial small subunit ribosomal RNA", at positions 507 to 807 of the family's 1533-position model. The record is from RNAcentral.
AGCAGCAGCCACGGGAAAACGUAGGGUGCAAGCGUUAAUCGGAAUUACUGGGCGUAAAGCGUGCGCAGGCGGUUAUAUAAGUCAGAUGUGAAAUCCCCGGGCUCAACCUGGGAACUGCAUUUGAGGCUGUAUGGCUAGAGUGUGUCAGAGGGGGGUAGAAUUCCACGUGUAGCAGUGAAAUGCGUAGAUAUGUGGAGGAAUACCGAUGGCGAAGGCAGCCCCCUGGGAUAACACUGACGCUCAUGCACGAAAGCGUGGGGAGCAAACAGGAUUAGAGACCCCCGUAGUCCCUGUCUCUUAUAC